Molecule: non-coding RNA, 107 nt
Filed under: Ruegeria sp. ANG-R
Lineage: Bacteria; Pseudomonadati; Pseudomonadota; Alphaproteobacteria; Rhodobacterales; Roseobacteraceae
Also listed under: 1 other name
Description: TPP riboswitch aptamer (THI element)
Rfam family: TPP riboswitch aptamer (THI element)
About the family: Vitamin B(1) in its active form thiamin pyrophosphate (TPP) is an essential coenzyme that is synthesised by coupling of pyrimidine and thiazole moieties in bacteria. The previously detected thiamin-regulatory element, thi box was extended, resulting in a new, highly conserved RNA secondary structure, the THI element, which is widely distributed in eubacteria and also occurs in some archaea.
Source: Rfam by way of RNAcentral
CCACAACCGUUGGGGUGCCCUGAUUGAAGGGCUGAGAGGCGUGGAUGCGCUAACCCAUCGAACCUGAUCCGGGCAAUACCGGCGGAGGGAACGGUCUUAAAACACGC